AACGAACGCUGGCGGCGCGCCUAAUACAUGCAAGUCGAGCGAGAAAGUGUAGCAAUACACUUGUAAAGCGGCGAACGGGUGAGGAAUACAUGGGUAAUCUACCAUCGAGUGGGGAAUAACCAACCGAAAGGUUGGCUAAUACCGCGUACGCCUCCGAGUCUUCGGGUUCGGAGGGAAAGCUGCACUGUGAGUGUAGCGCUCUUUGAUGAGCUCAUGUCCUAUCAGCUUGUUGGUAGGGUAAUGGCCUACCAAGGCUUUGACGGGUAGCUGGUCUGAGAGGACGAUCAGCCACACUGGCACUGCGACACGGGCCAGACUCCUACGGGAGGCAGCAGUAAGGAAUAUUGCGCAAUGGGCGAAAGCCUGACGCAGCGACGCCGCGUGGGGGAUGAAGGUCUUCGGAUUGUAAACCCCUUUCGGGAGGGAAGAUGGAGCGAGCAAUCGUUCGGACGGUACCUCCAGAAGCAGCCACGGCCAACUUCGUGCCAGCA
This 491-nucleotide ribosomal RNA is filed under the name uncultured bacterium. RNAcentral describes it as "bacterial SSU rRNA". It matches the Rfam family "Bacterial small subunit ribosomal RNA", at positions 29 to 513 of the family's 1533-position model. The record is from RNAcentral.